UUGUAUCACCUCACAGCAUGCUACCCUUUUUUAUAAAGAAGAUGUAUUUCAUUGUGUUUUCUAUUUUACUCAAAACAUAGACGACACCGAGAUGAGAGACAUGUUUCUCUUCCUUUGCUUCUUCGUAUUCCCUCUAACAUCGGCCAUUCAUAAAACAAGGAACUCCAUGUUUGGCCAUUCACUCCUUGCAUCUCCCUACAACGAGACGGGUGUUGGGGAACUUUGUGGAUGCUACAAACUCUGCUAUGACGACAAAGAAAACUGCGCCAGCAUCAACUACGACAUGAAAAUAGGGAGAUGCAAACGCAUGACGGUCACACACGUAAACCUGCCUCGCGAACUCGUGAAAAUGGAAAACUCAGUUUACGCGGAUAUAAGAGAUGAUAAGUAUACCAAAAAAUGAUCCGGACAUACGGCUAGUUAAGAUAAAUAAUUACUCCUCGAUUUCGGAUGGGCGCUAAAUUAAUAGCUACUGACGAAGUCGCGAAUAACACUUAAGAAGUUAAACCACAAAAGCAGGUCAAGCUACAAAGCCAAGAACUGGUUUUUGUUUCCGGCAAAUCCGGCACUUUUUGCUACAUCAGAUUGGAGCUAACUGGAGCAAACGCCGGAAACUGAUCUGGGCACACGAAUUGAAUUAAUAAUAGCUAUUGAGAUCAUACGAAGGCAAAGAAAUAAUUCCUGUAGUCAAACCACAGUAGGUGAAGUUGCUGUAUAAACAAAAACAUAAACAAAAACUUAAAGUGCAUUAUUUAUGAUAGUUAACUAGGUUGGCGUCACUAGUUGAAAAUACUUCCUUUUAUUCAAGCAGAUCGUUCUUCGGGUUGAAAAAAGCUCCACAUCAUUUUCGGGAUGUGAUGCCGAGGAUGAGUUUGCAAACAAAAUUUGUGUCCAAAAAUGAUUCUUUCGAUUCUUCCUUACAAAUGUCCUUUGAACUUUUACAGGUUGUGCUAACAAACCCCACCCUCUUGGGAUUGAAGAUGGCAGCAUUCCAGACUCUAGUAUCACGGCUUCAUCAACAUGGGUUUGUGCCUUUGGUUGCAACUCUUACAACGCACGCCUAAAUAACCAGCCAGUGAGUGGUCAACACAUAGGCGCAUGGGUAGCCGGGCAUAGAAAAAAAGGCGAGUAUCUACAGGUGGACCUGGGCCAAGUCACGUGGAUUACCCAUUUAGCAACGCAGGGGCGCCCUCAACAAUAUGACCAAUGGGUGACUGAGUACAGUGUGGAGUACAGUCUGAGGGGAGAUCAGUGGCGGAGUUACCAAGACGGGAAUGGUGUGACUAAGGUGUUCCCUGGCAACUCAGAUCAGACAACUGUGGUGAAGAACGAGUUCUCCCCUGUCAUCAAGGCGCGUUACGUCAGGAUUGUAGCACAUGCUUGGUACAAUUAUAUCGCUAUGAGAGCGGAGCUUUACGGAUGUGCAGCUUGACUUACUUAGUUAGGUAUCUUUGCAUUGGACUUUUAUAAUUUAAGAGUUUCUUUGGUGGAUUAGUCUACUGUGCAGCCAUUCUUAGUGUCAGGCUCCAGUGGAUUUGAGAGUGACACAAGGAUAGAUGCGCGGGGACUAUUGAUGGAGGGGUUAUAGAGACACAAUAAAUUAAAUUUCCAGUUGAUUGGUGGCCUUUCUUGGUAAACCUUUGAGAUGUGGGCACUCUUAUAUGCGGGUCAAGUAUGGAAUGUGAUAUUCUCCUUAAAAUAAAAAAAGACCAAUAAAGGAGUUUAAGUUAAAGUAGCCCACGUACAUCACUAUUGCAAAGUAGUUACUAAACGAGGUCAACUCUACCGCAACACGAUUAUAGAAUUAAAUUAAUUAGAAAGCAAACCAGAAAUAAACUGUAUUUACUUGAAACUGCUAUUGAAAAUCGAGAUAUUAAAGUUUACAUCCUACAAAGGAUUCUAGAGAAAGAGCCCGCUUUAGAGACAUGAUGCAGAUUGAUUUUGAUAGAUAGGAAUGAUGGUAAAUUAUUCACGUCAAUGUUAGCGAUCAGUAAAGGAACAUUACCAAAAUAAAAUAGCUCUUCGGCGUCUUAUCUUAAUAUAAUCUUUGCAUUUGUAAACAUAAUAGAUCAGAGUCUCCAAUAAAAGAGAAUCAGACUAAAGACAAAGACAAAA
Nematostella vectensis (starlet sea anemone) is the source of this 2115-nucleotide long non-coding RNA. RefSeq lists it as uncharacterized. The transcript has 2 exons. NCBI's taxonomy places the organism in Eukaryota, Metazoa, Cnidaria, Anthozoa, Actiniaria, Edwardsiidae. The record is from RefSeq and is a predicted model, not a curated record.